UUGAUCUAUUAGUUUUGUUUGUUUAGACAAAAAAAUUUUGUUGAGUUUAACCUUUCGGUGACCAUGCGGCCACCGAAGCAAGUUGUUUUUAAAAAAUUCACAGAAAGAAGAUAAUCAAAUUCGGUAAUGAUCCUUCCGCAGGUUCACCUACGGAAA
RNAcentral lists this unclassified non-coding RNA (156 nucleotides) under uncultured fungus. Its description in RNAcentral is "sequence contains ITS1". The record is from RNAcentral. Lineage: Eukaryota; Fungi.